RNAcentral lists this ribosomal RNA (1710 nucleotides) under Triticum aestivum (bread wheat). RNAcentral describes it as "partial small subunit ribosomal RNA". Lineage: Eukaryota; Viridiplantae; Streptophyta; Magnoliopsida; Poales; Poaceae. The record is from RNAcentral.
AUGCCCCAACUGGGAGUUCAACCUGAUGUGGUGACCUACACCUCAAUCAUGGACGCACUAAGCAAGUCCGGAGCAAUGGACAAGGCAGAAGUGCUCCUUCGGCAAAUGGUUGAUCAAGGAAUUGAACCCAAUAUCAGGACAUAUAGCUGUCUGAUCCAUGGAUAUUCUACUUUUGGUCAGUGGAAGGAGGCACUUAGGGUAUUCAAAGAAAUGGCAAGUCUUGGUGUUGUACCAGACGUUGUCACAUUGAGCUCAUUAAUCGAUUCCCUUUGCAGGCACAGAAGGACAAAGCAAGCUAGAGAAAUUUUUGACUCUAUGGCUGCAAAGGGCCUGAAACCUAAUAUCGUCUCCUACUCUACUAUGCUUAAUGGGUAUGUCAAAGAAGGAUCCUUCGAGGAUAUGACCGGUCUCUUCAAUUCGAUGGUACGGAAUGGUAUUGUACCUAACCACCAUAUUUUCAACAUACUGAUCAAUGCAUAUGCUAAACGUGGACUGAUGGAUGAGGCUAUGCACAUGUUCGAAGUAAUGAGGCAACAAGGAGUAAACCCAGAUGUAUUUGGCUAUCAAAUCAUAAUGGAUUCACUUUGUAAAAUGGGUAAGAUGGAUGCUGCUCUGGACAAAUUUAAUCAGAUGGUCAAUCAAGGAGUUUCACCUAACAAAGCUGUUUACCAAUGCCUGGUUCUGGGUUCUUGCUCUCAUGGUGAUUUUGUGAAAGCCAAGGAAUUGAUUUCUGAAGCGGUUAAUAGAGGUCUGUGUUCUAACAGUGUGUUCUUCUAUCCUGUAAUAAACGACCGUUGCAAAGAAGGAAAGGUGAAGGACGCACAGGAUAUGUUUGACUUCAUUGUAGGUAUUGGUCAUCGGCCUGAUGUGAUUAUGUACAAUUCACUGAUGGAUGGAUAUUGCCUUGUUGGCAAGGUGGAGGAAGCACUGAGAGUACUUGAUGCUAUGAAGUCUGCUGGCCUCCAACCUGAUGUUUUUACAUAUGGUAUACUUAUUAAUGGCUACUGUAAAAUUGGAAGGAUCGACGACGGAUUGAGUCUUGUCAGGGAAAUUUCACUCAGUGGGGUUAAGCCCACGACUAUUAUGUACAACAUUAUACUUGAUGGGCUGUUUUGCUCUGGGAGAACAGUUCCUGCAAAGGAAAAAUUCCAUAAGAUGAAUGAAAGUGGCAUACCAGUGGGCGUUGGAACAUACAACAUAGUUCUUAGUGGACUUUGUAAAAAUAAUUGCACUGAUGAAGCAAUAGAGCUGUUCAAGAAAUUACGUGCUGUGAACGUGAAGAUUAAUGUCAUAACACUCACUACCAUGGUUUCUGCAAUGUUUAAAACUAGGAGAAUUGAAGAAGCCAAGGAUUUGUUUGUUACUAUAUCAGCCAUUGGGUUGGUGCCUUCUGUUGUGACUUACAGUAUAAUGAUGACAAAUUUCAUAAAAGAAGGGUUGCUUGCAGAUGCUGAUGAUAUGUUUUCAGCAAUGGAGAAGGCUGGCUGUGCUCACAACUCCAGACUGCUAAAUCAAGUGGUCAGGGUAUUUCUGAAGAAUGGUGAAGUUGUAAAGGCUGUGACUUAUCUUGCCAAAUUUGAUGCAAAACAGCUGUCAGUUGAAGCUUCGACGGUUUCGUUAAUAGUAUCUCUCUUCUCAAGGAAAGGGAAAUUAAGGGAGCAUGUAAAAUUGCUUCCGGUAAAGUACCAGCCUCCUGAGAUGUUGGACUGA